Molecule: ribosomal RNA, 253 nt
Filed under: uncultured bacterium
Lineage: Bacteria
Description: partial 16S ribosomal RNA
Rfam family: Bacterial small subunit ribosomal RNA
Source: RNAcentral
UACGUAGGUGGCAAGCGUUGUCCGGAUUUACUGGGCGUAAAGAGCGCGCAGGCGGUCGUUCAAGUCGCGUGUGAAAGCCCCCGGCUCAACUGGGGAGGGUCACGCGAUACUGAUCGACUCGAAGGCAGGAGAGGGAAGUGGAAUUCCCGGUGUAGUGGUGAAAUGCGUAGAUAUCGGGAGGAACACCAGUGGCGAAGGCAGCUCGCUGGGACGGUACUGACGCUGAGGCGCGAAAGCGUGGGGAGCAAACAGG